UUUGGCGAUAAAGUUAGUUGGUAUAAAAAAACGUGGUGUACUUAGCUAAAUUCUGGAAUUAAAACUAGUUAAACCUAAAUUAAUUUAUAUUUGGUGGUGGUAAAAAUUGCUGGUGAAUUUGAAACGUCAGCCUAAAAUAGUGGCAAGCGCAGAUAGCGAAUUAUAGAAGACGAUUGAGGUUAAAACUAAACGAUAUUAAACCCAAGCAACAUUUGUAACAUCUAACGAAAUCAACGAAACGAAAUCAACGAAAUCAAAACGAUAUUAAGUGAAAAGUCACACAGUGAUCUAGAAAAUCUAAAAUUUAGUAGAGUAUAACGGAAACCGAUAACUAUUUCUUUGAUUGAUCACACAGUGAUCUUAUUAUAGUUACUAUGAAAUAAAU
Long non-coding RNA from Wyeomyia smithii (pitcher-plant mosquito), 385 nucleotides. RefSeq lists it as uncharacterized. Lineage: Eukaryota; Metazoa; Arthropoda; Insecta; Diptera; Culicidae. The record is from RefSeq and is a predicted model, not a curated record. The transcript has 3 exons.